UGUUAUUACAAGUGUGAAUAUAUUACACAAGUCACCUGAAAGUACUUUUAAAAGGAAAACAAAGUCAACAUAUGAACUUUUAACAAAUAUAAUCAGAAAUUAUAUACUGUCAAAACUUUCUACAAACGAUGACUACUGACUCAACUAUGGAUCUGUCCUUAUUUUCUUUCUUUCUUUUGGUUAUACAUAAAAUAAUUAAGAACAAACACACAAAAAAUAAAUAAUAAUAAUAAUAUAACAAUAAUAAAGUCUAAAGAUCAUAUAUCAUGUGAAGCUAAACGCUAAAAGCCACCUCGAAACAGAGAAAAUGGAUAAGGCGGUGUUGUUGGUGGAUUUGACUCUACCACUCCUCCAAACGUCGCCGUUUCUUUAUACCUUCUUUCUCCCUGAAUACUCCCACAUCCUCCUCCUCCUCCUCCGUUAACACUCUCCGGCAAAGAAAACGUCGACGUCAAAGAUGAUGACGUCGACGACGUUGAAUUCGAGAGCAUCGACUUCGCCACCAAACCCGUCUCGUAACUACCAAACUGUCCUUGCGUCAUAGGAACAAUCCACCCAUCCGGUGAAUGAUUCCGGUAAAGAUUCUCCGUUGAUGACGGCGACGGUGUUGAUGAUGACAUAACCCUAAAGACCCUCCCUUCAUCUUCUUCCACUUCUUCUUCCUCUGACUUCACCGUCGACAUCGUGACACGACGCUUCUUCUUGUCGGAAACUUGUUGUUGUUGCUUUGUCCGUUCUUUCUCGAGCAUCAUUCUUGGAAGAAGAUCAGGAUCUUCAACGACUUUGUAAAGAAACGCCAUCAUCUGCUCCGGUCUCUUCUCCGUCGCUUCGAUCCUCCGGUUCAUCCUCUGAAUCUCUGCCUCUAGCUCCCUCUGCUCUUCUUUUAACCGUUCGAUCUCCCUCACAAUCUCACCGUCCUCCAAAUCUUGACCGUACAUCCCCCGCGCGUGUUUCCUACGCGCUAUGUUAUUCAACAAAUGCUUCUGUCCCCUUAGAAAAUGCUCGUUCGCAAACUCCCACCGGUCCGGAUCCACUUUCCUAAACCCCUAAAGUAAAUAAAGAAAGGAUCAUUAGUUCGUAAUCCCCUGUUUCCAGUUUCAUGUAAGAUUCGUUGCGAGAAGUCGAGUGGAUCAACGACUAUGAAACUGUUGUGAGCAGGUCCCCAAGUGAUGAGCCAAUCGGUGGAAGGAUCAUUGACCAUCUGAUAUGUUUUCACGAUGAAAGGUGCGAUCACGUUGUUGUUGUUGUUGUUGUUACUAUUGUCGUCCUCCAUCUCUCUCUUUCUCUGUUUUCCUUAUGGUUUAUAUGUUUGUUGUUGGUGGUGGUAAAGAAAUUAAAGAGGAGCCUGGAGGGUUUAUAUAAAGAUAGGAAAAUGAGAUGUGAAAAUAGUAAGUUAAGUGUAGUUGACAGUGAGACUAUAUUGACGUGGCUUGCUUUUUGUGAUAACGUGGCGGGUUCGUGUUUUGCCUUUUACGGUGUCACGAGUGAACUGUGGGACCUAUGCAGGUGUGCCUCUAAGCUUUCAGGUGCCACAAAGCCUUAGGUCAAUUAGCUUUUCUUAGAUGGCAAGUUAUUAGUCCGAGCCGUUGUGUAUUUGUGUGAGAUGUUUUCAAGAGACGACGAGCGUGUGGGUGCUUGGAUACUGACAUGGUCCGCACUGGUUAGUGACGGAGGAACUCAGGAACAAGUACUGAUUCGACACGUUGCGUAGAAUCUUUUUUGUUGGCGAUGCACACUCCACUAAUCGAGUAUUUUUGUAUUUAUGGAAAGUUUAUUCAUUAUACGUUGCUUAAUUCAGGUAUACGACGAACAUGAUUUUUCAUUUUUAUUAUAGUGUCACACAAAUAUUAUAGGAAACUGAUGUCGUACGG
This 1871-nucleotide long non-coding RNA is filed under the name Arabidopsis thaliana (thale cress). RNAcentral's name for it is "ncRNA (AT3G24518)". Lineage: Eukaryota; Viridiplantae; Streptophyta; Magnoliopsida; Brassicales; Brassicaceae. The record is from RNAcentral.